AGUCGAGCGAGAAGACGUAGCAAUACGUUUGUAAAGCGGCGAACGGGUGAGGAAUACAUGGGUAACCUACCCUCGAGUGGGGAAUAACUAGCCGAAAGGUUAGCUAAUACCGCGUACGCUCCUUGGACUUCGGUUCAGGGAGGAAAGCGAUGCCGUGGGUAUCGCGCUCUUGGAUGGGCUCAUGUCCUAUCAGCUUGUUGGUGAGGUAACGGCUCACCAAGGCUUCGACGGGUAGCUGGUCUGAGAGGACGAUCAGCCACACUGGCACUGCGACACGGGCCAGACUCCUACGGGAGGCAGCAGUAAGGAAUAUUGCGCAAUGGGCGAAAGCCUGACGCAGCGACGCCGCGUGGGGGAUGAAGGUCUUCGGAUUGUAAACCCCUUUCGGGAGGGAAGAUGGAGCGAGCAAUCGUUCGGACGGUACCUCCAGAAGCAGCC
This 438-nucleotide ribosomal RNA is filed under the name uncultured bacterium. RNAcentral describes it as "bacterial SSU rRNA". It matches the Rfam family "Bacterial small subunit ribosomal RNA", at positions 60 to 492 of the family's 1533-position model. The record is from RNAcentral.